Molecule: long non-coding RNA, 1707 nt
Organism: Sitodiplosis mosellana (orange wheat blossom midge)
Lineage: Eukaryota; Metazoa; Arthropoda; Insecta; Diptera; Cecidomyiidae
Exons: 4
Source: RefSeq, a predicted model, not a curated record
CACCUGGUUCGCGUGCAGUUUUGUGCUUCACAUUUGACGUGCUCUCGUUUUACUCGGUAUAUCUCUCGUUACCGUAUACAACGGCCGUCGUCAUCGUCGGCGGCGUACAGUAAAGUACAUACAAUACGCAAUAUAUCGUAAUCGCUGUAAACUUGAAAAGAUAGCAAUAAAGUAAAAGCACCAGCUAACUGAAAAAAAAAGAAUUUGUUUUGUCGUCAUCAUUGUGUGUAUCUGUUACAAAAAAAACGUAUAACACAAGAAAGAAAUAAAAAAAAAUACCGAACUCGAUCAGUGCGCUCGCUACAUAACAACAGUUUCCCUGUCGUUUCUUCUUUUUUAUUUGAUUUUUUUUUCGGUGUAUUCCUUCACGUUUUUAUUGUUGCUCUUUACUCCAGUGACUUUCUCGUUUGAAUUGAAUCCGAUUUCGGUUGAUGUAGUAUAUGUAUUUUUUUUUCCUUGAUGAUUUGUGUUUUUGUUGUCGUGUAACAUAUUCUAUUCGUUUUUGUUUCUCUUUCACUCAAUCUCGCCCUCUCUAUCCUACUCUCUGUCGGAAUAUGUGCAAUCAAACUUAAGUUUUCUGUGAAUGGUGCAAUCGAUUAUUAUUUUCCGAGAGGAUAAUAAAAACUGAUAAAGAAAUGUUCCGACAGGGAAAAAGUUACCAAUUGCUUACAAAGAAGAAAAUAAUCACAAAAUCGAACGAACGGCACGACAUGAAGGAUGAGAGGACAGAACAGAAGAAAUGAAAAUAUCAUCAACAGCAACAGCAACAACAGCAGCACCAGCAGCAAGACUAUAGCCGUCGUACAGUUGAAUUAAAGUUACAUACUUUUUUUAUAGCCUGACAUUGAACUGAAUGCGACAGCUCUUCAGCCAACUGAAAAGCCAAUGAAAAAUCUUCGAUUCACGUGUCUUAAACUUACUUUCAGUGUUUUCAUCUUGUUGAAAUGUGAAAAAAAAAGAAAUAUAAAGACCAAACAAACUUGAAACGAAACAGAGAGAAAAAAAAACCAAAUUGAGAUUAUAACAAACAAAUAAAAAUCGAGAAUAAAAAAGGAAUUCCCCGGCGGAAAACGUAAAACAAAUGAACGAAGAAAAGUUAAAUGCUCCAACGGACCAAUCAACAGCCACUUCGACAACAACAACAAACCCAAAUCGAACCGUUGAACAAAACAGUUCGAUUCACUUUUCCUUCCUCAUCAAAGCAUAUAAAAAAUAAAAAUUGUUGAUAGAAUAACAUCGUUGAGAAAACGCAUCGAGAGACCGAUCCGUCGACGACUGGAUUAUGUGUGGCUUCAUCACAGUGAGCACGCAGAUGUAAAAAACAUGAUGUGGUAACAAAAAGCGAGUCAUAAAAUUUUUCCAUGAAAAUUCAACGAAUUUUCCCUUUGAGUCCAAUUUGUUGUAUUUCGUUUUACUUUUUUGUUGUUGCUGCGUUAAAUCAGACAGAGAGUGAACGAAAGUAGAAAAAAUUGAGGAUCUCGAAGAGAGAGAGCCUGAGACUUCAUUAAUCCGGUGGAAAUCACAUGCAAAUAGUUCGCAAUAUUUGUUGAUUUUGUUUUUUUUUUUAAAAAGAUGUGUUUAUAGGAUGUAUUUUUGUUACGAGUGUUUUGCGUUCGGUCCCAUUUUCAGCUGUCCAUCCGCAAUUUUCGCAUUUGUUCCAGCUUAGUUAUUUGAUUUACUUACGGUUCAUGCUUUGUAAUAUGCGAC